This 1022-nucleotide long non-coding RNA is filed under the name Heterocephalus glaber (naked mole-rat). RNAcentral describes it as "lncRNA (ENSHGLG00100040119.1)". The record is from RNAcentral. Lineage: Eukaryota; Metazoa; Chordata; Mammalia; Rodentia; Bathyergidae.
GGAAAAACAGAACAUCCUUCAUUCACAUGACUGCGAAGGCAGUCGUGGUACUGGUAUUUUUGUAGCCUCAAUUCUGAAAGGGGGAAGUGGGUUUUCAGUUUUGAGUAUUUUUAAAAAUUUGCCUAGUUCCCUGUGUUUGCAAGCUAUCUUCUGGAAAUGAGAGUGCUGAGUUGCGUGGCUCACAGAACCUGCUCCUUGAAACCGCUUGAAGGCAGGAUGCCUGAGAAAAAGAGGGAACCACUGGGCCCAACAACUUCAAAACCCUCAGGUGAAAAAGAUGAGCAGGCACAGACUAGAAGGGAGCUUUUCAACAUCACAAAAUUCCCCAAGUGAAGGAGUAGAAGCCAUUGUACGUCUUUCAAACAGAGCAAGAGAACAAUGGCUAACACUGAUUGGGCACCUGCACGUGCAUAGAAGUCUCACAGCUGUUCUCCACCAAAAAUUGCUAUCACCAUCCUGGCUUUACCGACAAGGAAACUAAGCUCUCUCUUGGGAUGGAUCACAGCUCCCUUCACCUUCAUCACACUCAGGCUCAGCCAAGUGUAAAGUCCAACAAACGUGCAUCCUAGGCCUCGGGCUCCCUGCUGCAGCCCUCCCAUGGGCUGUGUCUAACCAUCUGGAGCCUCGUUUCUUCAUCUGUAAAACGGGGUGAUAUUGACAGGUAUAACCAAGCUGUGCUUCAGAAAACAGUAUUUAAGACAAAUAAAUGAUACAAUUCUGCGAAUAAGAUCUAAAAUACUUAGCACCAUAUUCAGAACACAGUAUGUGUUCAAUGUUUCACAUUUAAAACAAAAGUCGAUUAUUUUAGUUACUAUAUUUUAAUUCUAUGUCACAUUUUAAUAACAUUUGAUGCUUUUUGAGGUGGCUCCAAUCAUCAUUUCCCGUGGUUUUCACAAUAACCUGGCACAACUGGCAGGGAAGUUCUACUUCCUCAUCUCACAAAUCAUUUCCAUUAAUAUUUAUUGUGUACCUACUAUGCAUAGGACCUGGGCUAGGAACUUGGAGACACAGCACAUGCAUGG